This is a long non-coding RNA of Saccostrea cuccullata (small rock oyster), 437 nucleotides long. RefSeq lists it as uncharacterized. The transcript is spliced from 3 exons. The record is from RefSeq and is a predicted model, not a curated record. NCBI's taxonomy places the organism in Eukaryota, Metazoa, Mollusca, Bivalvia, Ostreida, Ostreidae.
GAUGCAUGUAGAUAUUUUACACCUCCUCCCCCAAUACAGCAUCUGAGGAAAUGUUUUGAUGACCUUCCAGAAAUUGUCAGAAGGGCCUACUAUUCCAUUGGCAACUAUAUUGUUUCCAUAGCAAUACUGAAAACAUGUCAGGAGAAACCUGUUAUCAUGGACAGAUUCUGGCACAGUACUGCAGCUUAUGGUAUAGCCAAUGAAACAAGCAAUGAAGACAUCCCAUUGGAGGGGCAUUGGGUGUAUAGUGGCCCAGUGACCUUUUAACCCCUGACAUCGUCCUCUUUCUGACAGUCAGUGAGGAGAUCAGAAAGCAGAGGAUGCUGGGAAGAGGAGGGGAGAAAACUCAAGAAGAAAAACAUUUAGAUAAAGAUAGACUGUUUAGAGAAAGAUUAUACCUAGCCUACAAGAGAAUGGAGAAGCCUAGCUGUAUAAAA